ACACCUUCAGCAGGUGACCUCUGCCCUCCCGAUGACACCUACAUCUUCAGAACAAGAGACAGCUCUGGGGAAACUUUGGAAACAUGAGAGCUCUGAUGUAAACCUGAAUCAGCCAGAACCCAGAAGGAAACACACCUGGGGACGUUCAGGAAAAACCCCAUUGAGAUCGAAAUCUCCUUUACGAGUGGGACCUGACGUAAAACACAGUUACACAAGACACCGCUCAAACGAGUCACAGACAUCAAACUGGGAACGAGACCGCAGUGUAACGAAAUGGACGCAAGCUGUGUUUUGCAUUCUGAGCAUCUGAUCUUCCUUGGAGCCCUGGAUGGGAUUGUACAUGGGGAUGAGGCUAUUGAUUCCCACUUGGACAUCAGUCAGGAAGGAGCAGAAGAGAAACACAAACACAGCAUAAUGUCUGUGAUGAAGGAAUGAAGCGGGUGUUUCAUUGGAGUGUGAACAAGCGUUUGUUUUAAUGAGAUGGGCCGCCAGACCAAAGGGCUGUAAUUUCAGGGAACCUCGUGAUUAGGAAGGUAGGGAGGUGCUUCACCUAGGCCCAGAGACACUGCAACACCUGUGCCUGCCCCCCUCACCCUCGUCAUCCUCACGCCGUCAUCCCGUUAAACCGCAUGUUCCAGUGAGUCAUCCGCCGGGGUUCAUUUACAAACCACUGGCAUAGAAAAGAGCUUCCGGUCCAGCUAUGUUCACAAAAACUAUGUGGGGGCAGUUUUACUGGAGCAGAAAUCAAACUUAACCUUUUGACCCUUCACGGGAAGCUGCACCCAGGCUCUUGGGAGAGAAUAACAACAGCUAGAGCUCUGAUUUGCAUAAAAAAGAUACUAUAUGUUGAUACAGAUUAGAUUUUUUUUUUUUUUUUUAAAGCAUAGCACCAGCUGCAGACAAAGAUUAUCAGCAGUUUGUCGAAGGUCAUAGGAAAUUACUGAUGUACAGUUGAACCCAAACAUUUUGCUUCUCUUGUUUGGUCUGCUUAUCUUGUGGCAUUGUAGUGUGGAAAUGUUUUUCAAAUGUACGGACUGCUGAAAUGUGACGCAAAGCUCCCAGGACCUAUUUAUUAUGUCCAAACGGUAUAUUGAAUAAUUUUAAUUUG
Long non-coding RNA from Anguilla rostrata (American eel), 1108 nucleotides. RefSeq lists it as uncharacterized. The transcript is spliced from 4 exons. The record is from RefSeq and is a predicted model, not a curated record. NCBI's taxonomy places the organism in Eukaryota, Metazoa, Chordata, Actinopteri, Anguilliformes, Anguillidae.